This 429-nucleotide ribosomal RNA is filed under the name Pseudomonadota bacterium. RNAcentral's name for it is "Proteobacteria bacterium partial 16S ribosomal RNA". It matches the Rfam family "Bacterial small subunit ribosomal RNA", at positions 355 to 776 of the family's 1533-position model. The record is from RNAcentral. Lineage: Bacteria; Pseudomonadati; Pseudomonadota.
UGGGGAAUAUUGGACAAUGGGCGAAAGCCUGAUCCAGCCAUGCCGCGUGUGUGAAGAAGGUCUUCGGAUUGUAAAGCACUUUAAGUUGGGAGGAAGGGCAGUAAGCGAAUACCUUGCUGUUUUGACGUUACCGACAGAAUAAGCACCGGCUAGCUCUGUUCCAGCAGCCGCGGUAAUACAGAGGGUGCAAGCGUUAAUCGGAAUUACUGGGCGUAAAGCGCGCGUAGGUGGUUCGUUAAGUUGAAUGUGAAAGCCCCGGGCUCAACCUGGGAACUGCAUCCAAGACUGGCGAGCUAGAGUAGGGCAGAGGGUGGUGGAAUUUCCUGUGUGGCGGUGAAAUGCGUAGAUAUAGGAAGGAACACCAGUGGCGAAGGCGACCACCUGGGCUCAUACUGACACUGAGGUGCGAAAGCGUGGGGAGCAAACAGG